AGAGGCCCUCCGUGGCCGGGGUGGGAUGCUUGCCUUGUCGCCGUGGCGACGAGGCAAGCAUUCUGCCAGGCCACUCAUGCUGCCCAC
Molecule: non-coding RNA, 87 nt
Organism: Myotis lucifugus (little brown bat)
Lineage: Eukaryota; Metazoa; Chordata; Mammalia; Chiroptera; Vespertilionidae
Source: Rfam